GUUGAGGUGGCUGAGUGUGACAGGGGAUGAGGAAAAGGUUGUGCUUCUCUUUCCCCAGGACUCAGGAGUAUGUGCGAAGCCUUGGAAUGACCCAGUGCCAGCCCCUGGGCUGUGGAGCACUCAGGCAGGGCUGCAGAUGGGCAUUGUGGGCAGGGGUCCCACACAAGUGGAACUGGAGUUGGAGAGGAAGGAAAGGAAGUGUGCCUUUGAAUCACUGCAAGCAGCACAACACGUAAAGCAUCUUCUGAACCUUCUACAUGGACACAUGGAGUGUGGUGAGGAGCUAACCACCACCCCUAAGACUGGAAGUCAUUUUAGCUGUCAUAACUUGGUCACUAAAGGAAAAAUGUCUAUAUGCAUUGUUUGAGCUGGAAUCCUGCUGUUCAUUGUUUGCGGAGAGACUUGUCCUGUUUAAUGCACACCCUGGGAUGUCAAUUUCAUUUCAUAUACAUGGAGGCAGAAACCUGUUUGAUGUUACCUAUGAGACCUCCUGUGGUUGGAAACCUAAUCACCCUAUACACCUCUCCCUUUGUAGCACACCAGCAAUUAAAUCAGAUCACUUUAAUCUUAAAGGAUCCUAGAUCACAUAUACACAAAAAAUACAAAUAGGAGGUGACAUAUUUUUGACAUUUGACAUGGUAAAGCAAGCCAGUGAUAACCAGAACUUUCCAUCUACUCCCAAAGUCUUCUCAUGUCUGC
Ictidomys tridecemlineatus (thirteen-lined ground squirrel) is the source of this 699-nucleotide non-coding RNA. Lineage: Eukaryota; Metazoa; Chordata; Mammalia; Rodentia; Sciuridae. The record is from RefSeq and is a predicted model, not a curated record.